RNAcentral lists this long non-coding RNA (290 nucleotides) under Prunus persica (peach). Its description in RNAcentral is "long non-coding RNA (PPER_LNC000741)". The record is from RNAcentral. Lineage: Eukaryota; Viridiplantae; Streptophyta; Magnoliopsida; Rosales; Rosaceae.
UGGCAUGCCCUUUGGGAUUGAUGAGUACUACACUUGCUCUUCCGCUGUUCGAUGUAGAAGAGCCAUCAAAGUAGAGGGUCCAUGGUUCCUCUUCUGUAGCAAUGGCUACCAUUUUCGGUAGCUCGCCUAGAACUUCUUUGGAGAGGGUGGACUCUUGUACUUUAGGGAAUAGAGCCAACAUAUCAAUCAUGGCUUGUCCCUUGAUAGCCCUAGGAAUUGUGCAUGUGAUAUCAAACUAGGAUAGUUGUGGCAGCCAACAUGCAAGGCAUCCUGACAACAUCGGUCUCGUG